CAGUAGCCGCGGUAAUACGGAGGGUGCGAGCGUUAAUCGGAAUUACUGGGCGUAAAGCGUGAGCAGGCGGUUAUAUAAGACAGAUGUGAAAUCCCCGGGCUCAACCUGGGAACUGCAUUUGUGACUGUAUAGCUAGAGUACGGCAGAGGGGGAUGGAAUUCCGAGUGUAGCAGUGAAAUGCGUAGAUAUGCGGAGGAACACCGAUGGCGAAGGCAAUCCCCUGGGCCUGUACUGACGCUCAUGCACGAAAGCGUGGGGAGCAAACAGGAUUAGAGACCCCUGUAGUCCCUGUCUCUUAUAA
This 301-nucleotide ribosomal RNA is filed under the name uncultured bacterium. RNAcentral's name for it is "partial 16S ribosomal RNA". It matches the Rfam family "Bacterial small subunit ribosomal RNA", at positions 509 to 809 of the family's 1533-position model. The record is from RNAcentral.